Molecule: long non-coding RNA, 1647 nt
Organism: Junco hyemalis (dark-eyed junco)
Lineage: Eukaryota; Metazoa; Chordata; Aves; Passeriformes; Passerellidae
Source: Ensembl
GUUCUCAAACAUCCCCCAAAUCCCAGCCCCUGUCCAACCUUUUCUUCCCCCUCCAGACCCCAAAUUCCCUCAAAUUCCCCCCAAAUCCCAAAUCCCAGAUUUUUUUAACUCCGUGACUCAAAAGUGGGGAAAAUUCCCAUUUUAUCGAGCAAAGCAAAAAUGGAGCGAGGGAUGUCGGGGGGCAGCACCCCAAAUUGGGUGGGUGUCCAUGAGGCUCCAGCGGUGUCCAGAAGCUCCUGGUGGUUCCUCUGAGGUUCUCCUGGUGCCCACGAGGUUCUGCUGAAGGAUCUUCUGGAGUGUCUGCAGGGUUCUAGAGGUGUUUGAGGGUUUCUGGAGGUGUCCACAGGUGCUUGUGGGGUUCUAGAAGUGUCUAUGGGGUUCUCAGGGGUCUCUAUGGGUUAAUAGAGGUGCUUAUGGGGUUCUGGGGGUGACAGUGGGGUUCUAGUUUUGGCUACAGGGUUCUAGAUGUGCCAACAAGGUUUUAGAUGUGUCUAUGGGGUUCUAGAGGUGUCUAUGGAGUUCUUAGGGUCUCUAUGGGGGUUCUAGAUGUGCCAGCAAGGUUCUAGGGGGUCUCUAUGGGGUUCUAGAGGGUCUCUGUGAGGUUCUAGAGGUGUCCAUGGAGUUCUUGGGGUUCUCCAUGGAGUUCUAGAGGUGUCUAUGGGGUUCUUAAGGGUCUCUAUAGGAUCUGGAUGGGGUUCUAGAGGUGUCUAUGGGGUUCUAGGGGGUCUCUAUGGGUUCUAGAAGUGUCUGCAGGGUUCCAGAUGAUCUCCAUGGGGUUCUAAGGGUCUCUAUGGGGAUUCUAGAGGUGUCUGUGGGGUUCUAGGGGGUCUCUGUGGGGUUCUAGAAGUGUCUACAGGGUUCCAGAUGGUCUCCAUGGGGUUCCAGAUGGUCUCUAUGGGGAUUCUAGAGGUGUCUAUGGGGUCUCUAUGGGUUCUAGAAGUGUCUGCAGGGUUCCAGAUGAUCUCUACGGGGGUCCCAGAUGGUCUCCAUGUGGUUCUAGAGGUUCUUACGGGGUUCUAGAGCUGCCUGCAGCGUUCCGGAUUCGCCCACGGGUUCCUGGCGGUUUCUCCUCAAGGUUUCUCAGCCCAACCCCCUUUUCAGCUCCUGGGGUUCCCACAAGGCCCCUGCACGUUCUCCUUCCUCCUGGGCUUGUCCUGCUCCACCUGGAGCCCCAAGCCGCUGGCCACGCCCGAGUUCCUCCUCUCGAUCACCUCCACCUUGAUGACGGCGCUGCCGCCCCUGGCCAGGCUGGCCGCCACCGUGACGGCGCCGUGGCUCAGCUGGACCUUGCGCUGGUUCUCCUUGAGCACCACGCACGGCAGCACCGGGCUCUUGGCCGGGGAGCGCCGCGAGCUCCUGACCAUGCGGCGGUAGGCCGAGCGCAGGUCGCCCUUGUGGACCUUGUCCAGGGACAGCUCGAGGCCGGUGAGCACCGAGAAGCGGUUGCGGUCGAUGGGGUUGGAGAAGAAGACGGCGAAGGUGAAGGUCUCGGCCUCGAAGGCCAGGACGCCGUUGCAGCCCCAGAAGAAGCAGCGGUUGGUGAACUUGCAGACGGUGGAGGAGCAUGGUGGCACCAAGCCAUGGGGGUCACAGAGGCUGCGGCCGCUGUAGAAGUAGGUCCUGGAGAGAGGAAUGUGUGCGGUGAGG